AGUGAACGCUGGCGGUAGGCCUAACACAUGCAAGUCGAACGGCAGCACAGUAAGAGCUUGCUCUUACGGGUGGCGAGUGGCGGACGGGUGAGGAAUACAUCGGAAUCUACUUUUUCGUGGGGGAUAACGUAGGGAAACUUACGCUAAUACCGCAUACGACCUACGGGUGAAAGCAGGGGAUCUUCGGACCUUGCGCGAUUGAAUGAGCCGAUGUCGGAUUAGCUAGUUGGCGGGGUAAAGGCCAACCAAGGCGACGAUCCGUAGCUGGUCUGAGAGGAUGAUCAGCGACACUGGAACUGAGACACGGUCCAGACUCCUACGGGAGGCAGCAGUAGGGAAUAUUAGACAAUGGGCGCAAGCCUGAUCCAGCCAUACCGCGUGGGUGAAGAAGGCCUUCGGGUUGUAAAGCCCUUUUGUUGGGAAAGAAAAGCAGCAGGUUAAUACCCCGCUGUUCUGACGGUACCCAAAGAAUAAGCACCGGCUAACUUCGUG
RNAcentral lists this ribosomal RNA (492 nucleotides) under uncultured bacterium. Its description in RNAcentral is "partial 16S ribosomal RNA". It matches the Rfam family "Bacterial small subunit ribosomal RNA", at positions 29 to 507 of the family's 1533-position model. The record is from RNAcentral.